Molecule: transfer RNA, 63 nt
Filed under: Polycarpa mytiligera
Lineage: Eukaryota; Metazoa; Chordata; Ascidiacea; Stolidobranchia; Styelidae
Description: transfer RNA-Ala
Source: RNAcentral
AAGAUUUUAGUUUAUAAAAAACAUAUAACUUGCACUUAUAAGAAAAAUUAUUUUUAAAUCUUG